UCUGGGACAAGCCCUGGAAACGGGGUCUAAUACCGGAUAACACUCCUCUGGGCAUCCAGGGGGGUUGAAAGCUCCGGCGGUGAAGGAUGAGCCCGCGGCCUAUCAGCUUGUUGGUGAGGUAGUGGCUCACCAAGGCGACGACGGGUAGCCGGCCUGAGAGGGCGACCGGCCACACUGGGACUGAGACACGGCCCAGACUCCUACGGGAGGCAGCAGUGGGGAAUAUUGCACAAUGGGCGAAAGCCUGAUGCAGCGACGCCGCGUGAGGGAUGACGGCCUUCGGGUUGUAAACCUCUUUCAGCAGGGAAGAAGCGAAAGUGACGGUACCUGCAGAAGAAGCGCCGGCUAACUACGUGCCAGCAGCCGCGGUAAUACGUAGGGCGCAAGCGUUGUCCGGAAUUAUUGGGCGUAAAGAGCUCGUAGGCGGCUUGUCGCGUCGGUUGUGAAAGCCCGGGGCUUAACCCCGGGUCUGCAGUCGAUACGGGCAGGCUAGAGUGUGGUAGGGGAGAUCGGAAUUCCUGGUGUAGCGGUGAAAUGCGCAGAUAUCAGGAGGAACACCGGUGGCGAAGGCGGAUCUCUGGGCCAUUACUGACGCUGAGGAGCGAAAGCGUGGGGAGCGAACAGGAUUAGAUACCCUGGUAGUCCACGCCGUAAACGGUGGGAACUAGGUGUUGGCGACAUUCCACGUCGUCGGUGCCGCAGCUAACGCAUUAAGUUCCCCGCCUGG
This 727-nucleotide ribosomal RNA is filed under the name Streptomyces sp. RNAcentral's name for it is "bacterial SSU rRNA". It matches the Rfam family "Bacterial small subunit ribosomal RNA", at positions 137 to 876 of the family's 1533-position model. Lineage: Bacteria; Bacillati; Actinomycetota; Actinomycetes; Kitasatosporales; Streptomycetaceae. The record is from RNAcentral.